AGAUAAGCUCACUUUAGAAAAGUUUUAGUACACACUGACAAAUUACCUCCUGAAAUGACACCAAUCUAAAUGGAGGGUUUCUUUUUUUUCAAACCUGUGGAAGAAUCUAAGCAGUUUUAUGGCCUUUGACAAAGUUGCUGUCAAAGAGAAAAAGCUCAAAGAUCUAGGAAGGUCCUGAGAGUUGCUGGAAGGAGAUGAGGCCAUGCCCUGGAAAGCUCUUCUGAGGAAGAGGUACAGGUCUGUGAUUCAUCAGUCUUACACAAUUCACAGCACUCACCGUAGCACAUACCGUCCCCAGUGAUGUGGGCAUUUUAUGGGAGCCCAGGGUUUUUGUCAAGGACCUAAACACACACACCUGGCUCAGGAGUCCGAGGCACUGGAGGGAAGGGGAAGGUGGAGCUGUUGCACGUGCAGCCGCGGCUUCCCACCACCAACCUGAGUCAGCAACUUAGCACCCCGUACGUGAGAGCAGGAGUGGAUUUGCAGCUGUGGGCACGUCGCAGCAUCAAAAUCACCUUCAUGUUAUCUUAGGCCUCACAACAGCCCUGUGAAGUUGGAAGUGUAAUCUUUUCUCAUUUAUCGAUAUCAGAAUCCCUCCCUCCCCACUCCCUCCUCAUCUGGGCUGCUGCUGGGUAACAGACUUCAUGCUAAAACCAGGAAUAAGAAGGUGAAUACAACCUGGCUCCCUGUCUUCAGUAGCUCACUGUGAACUGGGGGGAGACAGUAAUCCCAGGAACUCAGGGUUUCCCCUCACACUCUUAUUUUUCCUUGCAAUGUAUUUGUUGAAGAAACCGAGUGAUUUAUCCAAGAGAUUUCCUAAUGGUCUGGAUUUUGCUGAUUGUUUCCUCUUGAUAUUGAGCAUGUUCCUCUGUUCUCGGUAGUUCCAUCUAAAGAUUUAGGCUUGGACUACUGGGUAUUUACCCCAAAGAUACAAAAGUAGGGACCAGAAGGGGUAUGUGCACCCCGAUGUUUAUAGCAGCAAUGUCCACAAUAGCCAAACUGUGGAAAGAGCCAAGAUGUCCAUCGACAGAUGAAUGGAUAAAGAAGAUGUGGUAUAUAUAUACGAUGGAGUAUUAUGCAGCCAUCAAAAGGAAUGAGAUCUUGCCAUUUGCAACGACGUGGAUGGAACUGGAGGGUAUUAUGUUGAGUGAAAUAAGUCAAACAGAGAAAGACAUGUAUCAUAUGAUCUCACUGAUAUGAGGAAUUCUUAAUCG
Molecule: long non-coding RNA, 1214 nt
Organism: Mirounga angustirostris (Northern elephant seal)
Lineage: Eukaryota; Metazoa; Chordata; Mammalia; Carnivora; Phocidae
Exons: 4
Source: RefSeq, a predicted model, not a curated record